CCUAGUUUCUUAAGGAUUCAGGGCAUGGAAAGUAAAACAUUGACUAUGUGCCAAUAAUGGAGACACCAGGUUGUUACCAGGCUGGAGUGCAUUGGUACCGUCACGGCUCACUGCAGCCUCCACGUCCUGGGCUCAAGGGAUCCUCCUAUCUCAGCCUCCCAAGUAGCUGGGUCUACAGGUAUACUCUACCACCCCAGCUUAAUCAUUUUUAAUACUGCGUUUUCUUGGGGGUAAGGGAAAUAAGGAGUUAAAUGUAAAACCGUUUUACUUAUAAAAGGCUAAGAAUAUUUGGUAAGAACUUGGAAUAAUCAAGGAAGCAAAACAAAGUAGAUUUUAUAAUUUUGCUGGAUAGUUUUUUUUGUUUUUUGUUUUUUUUUUCUUUUUUGGAGAUGGAGUCUCACUCUGUCACCCAGGCUGGAGUACAGUGGUGUGAUCUUGGCUUACUGCAGCCUACACCUCCUGGGUUCAAGCAAUUCUCCUGCCUCAGCCUCCCAAGUAGCUGGGAUUGCAGGUGUGCACCACCACACCUGGCUAAUUUUUUAUCUUUUUAGUAGAGAUGGGGUUUCGCCACGUUGGCCAGGCUGGUCUUGAACUCCUGACCUCAGGUGAUCCACCCUCCUCAGCCUCCCAAAUUGCUGGGAUUACAGGCAUGAGCCACUGCGCCCGGCUGAUUUAUUUUGUUAAGUAAGUUAAUGUGCAGAUCUGAAGUUAGGUAAUUAUACACAGGCAUUUUCCUGGGACAAACUUCAAGUGCCAGGUACUUGCACUCUUAAUACUGUCUUACCAUCCAGUUAUAACUGGACAAAAUAUACACUUGAGACACGGAAAAGGUCUUAGCCUUAAACAUGAUGACAUCGUAAGCUUCUUACAGCAGUGUAAUUGAGGCAUGGAGAUAAUGUCUUCAAGGUUCCCCUUCUGUGUACAUGUCUUAUGUAGGAUAAUAUUCUUAACAUUUUAUUCACUUCAAGUCACCCCAUUUUGCCCUGAUUUCUUCUGAAGAACAGAAACUUUGGUUAUAAGAAGCACUUCUGGGUUCUGACAGACAGUGAACCUGCUGGAGUCGGUGGUGGGGAGGAAUGGUAGGUAACUGGGAGGUAAGCAACAGGAACAAUAGGCAAGGUUAGAAAAUGAAGUGGGAGAAGUUAUAAAAAUUUAUUUUCCCACGAAAUAAUUCCACAAGCUGUGUAAACAUUUCUUACUAAAACAAAUACUCUAACACACAAAGAUUGUACAUUUCCAGUGAAACACUCACAGUAAAAUUGCCUGUAUUUUCACUCUCUAGGAGCAAAAACAAGGAGGCAGCAGAUGAAUGCUUUCCUAGUUACCUUUGGCAGCAAGCUUACUCACAUUCCCUGACUGCUCAAUGGGUUAUUAAAGCAACAUACAGCACAAUUAAAUACAGAGCCAGGUGGGCAGAAUGCUCGAUAUCAGUCUCUAGUUUCUUCAUUAGUCUUCAGCAUUCCAAUUCAUCUCAACCAUUCAGUCACUCGGUGCACACUUUCUUACAUACGGACACACACACGUGCAUAUAGCGAGUUCCGGCUCGUAGACUCCAGUGCAGUGACUAGAACAGACACUAGCUACUAAGAAUGUGUCACAAUCAGUGUGAACUGUAUGGAGUAGAACAACCUCUGGAGUUUUAUAUUUACCAUAAUUUAUGGUGGAAAUUACAAACUUACAAGGAUGGUAUAACAUUCAGAAUUCAAACCUUUUCAAGUCAAGCAAUCACACAUAUUUACAGUAUGUACACACUUUCUACUAGAAUGAGGAUAGGUGUCUAGACAAUGUUAUUACAAAUUUCCUGAAUGUGGGCAUUUCUAGUCCCUGUAAUUCAUAAAGCAAAUCUGC
This 1848-nucleotide long non-coding RNA is filed under the name Pan troglodytes (chimpanzee). Its description in RNAcentral is "long non-coding RNA NONPTRT002085". Lineage: Eukaryota; Metazoa; Chordata; Mammalia; Primates; Hominidae. The record is from RNAcentral.